ACGGGAGGCAGCAGUGGGGAAUAUUGCGCAAUGGGGGGAACCCUGACGCAGCAACGCCGCGUGAAGGAUGAAGGUUUUCGGAUUGUAAACUUCUUUGACGAGGGACGAAGAAUGACGGUACCUCGAAAACAAGCCACGGCUAACUACGUGCCAGCAGCCGCGGUAAUACGUAGGUGGCGAGCGUUGUCCGGAUUUACUGGGUGUAAAGGGCGAGUAGGCGGGACAUCAAGUCAGUAGUGAAAUACCGCAGCUUAACUGCGGAGCUGCUAUUGAAACUGAAGUUCUUGAGUGAUGGAGAGGCAGGCGGAAUUCCCGGUGUAGCGGUGAAAUGCGUAGAGAUCGGGAGGAACACCAGUGGCGAAGGCGGCCUGCUGGACAUUAACUGACGCUGAGGAGCGAAAGCGUGGGGAGCAAACAGGAUUAGAUACCCUGGUA
This 435-nucleotide ribosomal RNA is filed under the name uncultured Clostridium sp. RNAcentral's name for it is "partial 16S ribosomal RNA". It matches the Rfam family "Bacterial small subunit ribosomal RNA", at positions 341 to 792 of the family's 1533-position model. Lineage: Bacteria; Bacillati; Bacillota; Clostridia; Eubacteriales; Clostridiaceae. The record is from RNAcentral.